GACGUAGGGCGCGAGCGUUGUCCGGAAUUAUUGGGCGUAAAGAGCUCGUAGGCGGCUUGUUACGUCGACUGUGAAAACCCGCGGCUCAACCGUGUGGCUUGCAGUCGAUACGGGCAGGCUAGAGUUCGGUAGGGGAGACUGGAAUUCCUGGUGUAGCGGUGAAAUGCGCAGAUAUCAGGAGGAACACCGGUGGCGAAGGCGGGUCUCUGGGCCGAUACUGACGCUGAGGAGCGAAAGCGUGGGGAGCGAACAGG
This 254-nucleotide ribosomal RNA is filed under the name uncultured bacterium. RNAcentral's name for it is "partial 16S ribosomal RNA". It matches the Rfam family "Bacterial small subunit ribosomal RNA", at positions 524 to 776 of the family's 1533-position model. The record is from RNAcentral.